This 459-nucleotide ribosomal RNA is filed under the name uncultured bacterium. RNAcentral's name for it is "partial 16S ribosomal RNA". It matches the Rfam family "Bacterial small subunit ribosomal RNA", at positions 338 to 795 of the family's 1533-position model. The record is from RNAcentral.
ACUACGGGAGGCAGCAGUGAGGAAUAUUGGUCAAUGGCCGGAAGGCUGAACCAGCCAAGCCGCGUGAAGGACGAAGGUGCCAAGCAUUGAAAACUCCUUUUGUCAGGGGACAAAAUCAGGCUCUAGAGCCUGACCGAGGGUACUUGAAGAAAAAGCAUCGGCUAACUCCGGGCCAGCAGCCGCGGUAAUAAGGGGGAUGCGAGCGUUAUCCGGAUCUAUUGGGGUUAAAGGGUGCGUAGGCGGACUGGUAAGUCAGCGGUAAAAGCCCGGGGCUCAACCCCGGUGAGCCGUUGAAACUGGCUGUCUUGAGAUGUCGAGAGGUAGGCGGAAUGCGCAGGGUAGCGGUGAAAUGCGUAGAUAGUGCGCAGAACUCCGGUUGCGAAGGCAGCAUACCGGCGGCGAUCUGACGCUGAGGCACGAAAGCGUGGGUAUCGAACAGGAUUAGAUACCCGGGUAGUC